AAAAAAUCCCGAACGUAUCGGGAUUCAUUUUUUGCUAGGAGGGGGCAUAAAAAAAAUCCCGAGCGUAUCGGGAUUUUGU
RNAcentral lists this unclassified non-coding RNA (79 nucleotides) under Arenibacter nanhaiticus. RNAcentral's name for it is "Flavo-1 RNA". Lineage: Bacteria; Pseudomonadati; Bacteroidota; Flavobacteriia; Flavobacteriales; Flavobacteriaceae. The record is from RNAcentral.